ACAAAUCAUGAUGUUGGUGGUUGGGGUGGUGUCUGUUGGAUCUUUUGGUUUGACAGCACCACUACGACCACACUAUAACAUAAGCCCCGCCUGUAAAAGGGCUGAGGUAAUUUGAGGGAGAUUUUUCAGUCUCCCCUCAAACAUAUACAUGCUUACAAGUUUGACUGUAUUGAUUUUAUCAUGAAUAAUAA
This 191-nucleotide unclassified non-coding RNA is filed under the name uncultured fungus. RNAcentral's name for it is "sequence contains ITS1, 5.8S rRNA gene". Lineage: Eukaryota; Fungi. The record is from RNAcentral.